RNAcentral lists this ribosomal RNA (253 nucleotides) under uncultured bacterium. Its description in RNAcentral is "partial 16S ribosomal RNA". It matches the Rfam family "Bacterial small subunit ribosomal RNA", at positions 524 to 776 of the family's 1533-position model. The record is from RNAcentral.
AACGUAGGAGACAACCGUUAUCCGGAUUUACUGGGCGUAAAGGGCGUGUAGGUGGUUUCGUAAGUCUGGCGUGAAAUUUCUCGGCUUAACCGAGGCAGGUCGUCGGAUACUGCGGAACUAGAGGACGGUAGAGGCGUGUGGAAUUCCGGGUGUAGUGGUGAAAUGCGUAGAGAUCCGGAGGAACACCAGUGGCGAAGGCGACACGCUGGGCCGUACCUGACACUGAGGCGCGAUAGCAUGGGGAGCAAACAGG